This 72-nucleotide transfer RNA is filed under the name Marmota monax (woodchuck). It matches the Rfam family "tRNA". Rfam says of the family: Transfer RNA (tRNA) molecules are approximately 80 nucleotides in length. Their secondary structure includes four short double-helical elements and three loops (D, anti-codon, and T loops). Lineage: Eukaryota; Metazoa; Chordata; Mammalia; Rodentia; Sciuridae. The record is from Rfam by way of RNAcentral.
GGGGGUGUAGCUCAGUGGUAGAGCACCUGCCUUGCAUGCAUGAGACACUGGGUUCAAUCCUCAGCACCACAU